Papaver somniferum (opium poppy) is the source of this 913-nucleotide long non-coding RNA. RefSeq lists it as uncharacterized. The transcript has 3 exons. NCBI's taxonomy places the organism in Eukaryota, Viridiplantae, Streptophyta, Magnoliopsida, Ranunculales, Papaveraceae. The record is from RefSeq and is a predicted model, not a curated record.
UUGGUACCCAACAUUUGCAAUAUUAAGGGUUGGUACCUAGAUCCGUCGAAGACUGUCAAGUCAGAACCAAUGUUAAACACAAAUCUACUGCGAUUCUCCAUUCCCAGUUCAGAUCAACUUUUGUAGUUCGACCCUAAUGCCUUUACAUCAAAACAACAAGUGAAAUCAAUUGUAUCACUCUCCAAUUUACGCAUUUGGGGAGGACGACCAGAUGUUAUAUGAAGCUUCAAGCUUGCCCAUCCACAAUUUCUUACUACUUCUCAAUCUCUCUAGAAUUCUCAGAAAUUGAUUCACGAUCAUAAGGGUCGAUGGGUAUUCUUCUUCACAGAUAAAGAAAAGUUUGGCUUUUUUAAUUAUGUGUGGAUACUACGGUAUCUAACCAGGUUUAAUUCUUAUCUUUGUUAUGGAUCUUUACUGGAGAAAUCAAAUGGCAGUGGCGCAUCAGCUUCUUUUCUGUGGACAAAGACGCACCGUAAGGUUCCUUUAUGCUUUGGACUGCCUUGGAGGAUUCACUGCCAACUUUAACCAUGCUUCAAUCUGGGGGAAUUCCAGUGGCAGGCAAAAAAAAACUGUUGCAAAAAGAUUUGGCAUGGAGGAUGAACAAUCUUAAAGAUUUGGCAUGGAUCCUAUGAAAAGAGAGGAACAAGAGAAAUUUCAGGUGAAGAAUAAGAACAGUGGCGGUGAACACUUCUAUAACCAAAUCUGCUCUAAUUUUAUUGUGUCCAACUUGGAAAUCUAUAUUUCUAUUCCGGUUGAUCAUGUUCUUCUAUUCAACUGGAAAACUUUCAUCAGACGAUAUUUCUUUGUAAACACUACGCGAGAGUGUUGAUGUCAAACGGCUCGAUCUCAAAAGGAACAUUAAUUAUAGGACUUCGUGUGCAUCAAUUUUGGAAUAAAAACUUCAAUUAUAGGA